This 468-nucleotide ribosomal RNA is filed under the name uncultured bacterium. RNAcentral describes it as "partial 16S ribosomal RNA". It matches the Rfam family "Bacterial small subunit ribosomal RNA", at positions 28 to 507 of the family's 1533-position model. The record is from RNAcentral.
GACGAACGCUGGCGGCGUGCUUAACACAUGCAAGUCGAACGGAAAGGCCCUGCUUUUGUGGGGUGCUCGAGUGGCGAACGGGUGAGUAACAAGUGAGUAACCUGCCCUUGACUUUGGGAUAACUUCAGGAAACUGGGGAUAAUACCGGAUAGGAGCUCCUGCUGCAUGGUGGGGGUGGGAAAGUUUCGGCGGUUGGGGCUGGUCUCGCGGCUUAUCAGCUUGUUGGUGGGGUAGUGGCUUACCAAGGCUUUGACGGGUAGCCGGCCUGAGAGGGUGACCGGCCACAUUGGGACUGAGAUACGGCCCAGACUCCUACGGGAGGCAGCAGUGGGGAAUAUUGCACAAUGGGCGGAAGCCUGAUGCAGCAACGCCGCGUGCGGGAUGACGGCCUUCGGGUUGUAAACCGCUUUCGCCUGUGACGAAGCGUGAGUGACGGUAAUGGGUAAAGAAGCACCGGCUAACUACGUG